Molecule: ribosomal RNA, 594 nt
Filed under: Triticum aestivum (bread wheat)
Lineage: Eukaryota; Viridiplantae; Streptophyta; Magnoliopsida; Poales; Poaceae
Description: partial small subunit ribosomal RNA
Source: RNAcentral
AUGUAUGAUGCAUUGGUUCAUAACGAGGAUCCAUCUGAUAAUAGAAAAUUGUGGAAGCUUAAGAUUCCUCUAAAAGUGAAAAUUUUCCUAUGGUUUCUCAACAAAGGAGUUAUCUUAACUAGGGACAAUCUAACUCGACGAAACUGGCAAGGCUGCAAAAAAUGUGUUUUCUGCAAUCAUAAUGAAUCCAUUAAACACCUAUUUUUUGAUUGCAAGUUUGCUAGAUCGGUAUGGGCAAUAGUCCAAAUUGCUUCGAAUCUAUAUCCUCCAUGCAGCGUACGGAAUAUGUUCGGCAAUUGGUUGAGGGGAAUAGAUAAACAAUUGUCUAAGCACAUUCUUGCGGGGGCGGCUGCCUUAUGUUGGGCGUUGUGGCUCACCGGGAAUGAUAUUGUUUUUAAUCAUAAAAGUGUUUCAUCUCCUAUGCAGGUAAUUCAUAUAUGCUCGCGAUGGCUCCGUAUGUGGUCUAUCCUGCAGAGGCCGGAGGACAGAGACCUUUUUAUGAUGGCUUCUACCCGGUUGGAGUGCUCGGCCAGGGACAUUUUUUACCCCCAUGGAUGGCGGUGUGACCUUCGGAUUGGACCGGCAUCACCUUAG